AGAGCGAACGCUGGCGGCAGGCCUAACACAUGCAAGUCGAGCGCCCGUAGCAAUACGGGAGCGGCAGACGGGAUAGUAACACGUGGGAACGCGCCCUUCGGUUCGGAAUAACUCAGGGAAACUUGAGCUAAUACCGAAUACGCCCUUACGGGGAAAGAUUUAUUGCCGAAGGAACGGCCCGCGUCCGAUUAGCUAGUUGGUGAGGUAAUGGCUCACCAAGGCUACGAUCGGUAGCUGGUCUGAGAGGAUGACCAGCAUCACUGGGACUGAGACACGGCCCAGACUCCUACGGGAGGCAGCAGUGGGGAAUAUUGGACAAUGGGCGCAAGCCUGAUCCAGCCAUGCCGCGUGGAUGAUGAAGGCCUUAGGGUUGUAAAGUCCUUUUAACGGGGAGAUAAUGACGGUACCGUAGAAUAAGCCCGGCUAACUUCGCGCCAGCAGCCGC
Molecule: ribosomal RNA, 445 nt
Filed under: uncultured bacterium
Lineage: Bacteria
Description: SSU rRNA
Rfam family: Bacterial small subunit ribosomal RNA
Source: RNAcentral